Molecule: ribosomal RNA, 671 nt
Filed under: Chryseobacterium viscerum
Lineage: Bacteria; Pseudomonadati; Bacteroidota; Flavobacteriia; Flavobacteriales; Weeksellaceae
Description: bacterial SSU rRNA
Rfam family: Bacterial small subunit ribosomal RNA
Source: RNAcentral
GCCGAGCGGUAGAGAUUCUUCGGAAUCUUGAGAGCGGCGUACGGGUGCGGAACACGUGUGCAACCUGCCUUUAUCUGGGGGAUAGCCUUUCGAAAGGAAGAUUAAUACCCCAUAAUAUAUUGACUGGCAUCAGUUGAUAUUGAAAACUCCGGUGGAUAGAGAUGGGCACGCGCAAGAUUAGAUAGUUGGUGAGGUAACGGCUCACCAAGUCUACGAUCUUUAGGGGGCCUGAGAGGGUGAUCCCCCACACUGGUACUGAGACACGGACCAGACUCCUACGGGAGGCAGCAGUGAGGAAUAUUGGACAAUGGGUGAGAGCCUGAUCCAGCCAUCCCGCGUGAAGGACGACGGCCCUAUGGGUUGUAAACUUCUUUUGUAUAGGGAUAAACCUACUCUCGUGAGAGUAGCUGAAGGUACUAUACGAAUAAGCACCGGCUAACUCCGUGCCAGCAGCCGCGGUAAUACGGAGGGUGCAAGCGUUAUCCGGAUUUAUUGGGUUUAAAGGGUCCGUAGGCGGAUCUGUAAGUCAGUGGUGAAAUCUCACAGCUUAACUGUGAAACUGCCAUUGAUACUGCAGGUCUUGAGUGUUGUUGAAGUAGCUGGAAUAAGUAGUGUAGCGGUGAAAUGCAUAGAUAUUACUUAGAACACCAAUUGCGAAGGCAGGUUACUAA